CCCAUAAUUCCAAGGGUCAUCUAAUGACAUGAUGAAAUAAAAAUGCAUAGAGAAUUUGAAAGGAAAUAAGAGUCCAAUAUGAAAUGGACUCUUCCAUUUCAAUGCACAACAAUAUGGGCGUCCCACAUUUAUUUUGGCAUGGAGUUCUUUCCAGGAGAAGGACUCCACCUCCUCUUCCAUGCCCACAAGUCCCAAGGCACCAUCUGAUGGUGCACAAAAUUAAGGGACGUGUGGAAGAUGUAAGAGAAUUAAAAUAAGUAAAGGAGAAGGACUCCUCUCC
RNAcentral lists this long non-coding RNA (280 nucleotides) under Elaeis guineensis (African oil palm). RNAcentral's name for it is "long non-coding RNA (EGUI_LNC036316)". Lineage: Eukaryota; Viridiplantae; Streptophyta; Magnoliopsida; Arecales; Arecaceae. The record is from RNAcentral.